This 334-nucleotide unclassified non-coding RNA is filed under the name soil metagenome. Its description in RNAcentral is "partial contains 5.8S ribosomal RNA, internal transcribed spacer 2, and large subunit ribosomal RNA". The stretch from base 1 to 120 matches the Rfam family "5.8S ribosomal RNA", at positions 35 to 154 of the family's 154-position model. The record is from RNAcentral.
GAUGAAGAACGCAGCGAAAUGCGAUAAGUAAUGUGAAUUGCAGAAUUCAGUGAAUCAUCGAAUCUUUGAACGCACAUUGCGCCCGCCAGUAUUCUGGCGGGCAUGCCUGUUCGAGCGUCAUUUCAACCAUCAAGCCCCGGGCUUGUGUUGGGGACCUGCGGCUGCCGCAGGCCCUGAAAUGCAGUGGCGGGCUCGCUGUCACUCCGAGCGUAGUAGUUACAUCUCGCUCUGGGCGUGCUGCGGGUUCCGGCCGUUAAAAGCCUUAUUUACCCAAGGAUGACCUCGGAUCAGGUAGGAAGACCCGCUGAACUUAAGCAUAUCAAUAAGCGGAGGA